Molecule: long non-coding RNA, 910 nt
Organism: Juglans regia (Persian walnut)
Lineage: Eukaryota; Viridiplantae; Streptophyta; Magnoliopsida; Fagales; Juglandaceae
Exons: 4
Source: RefSeq, a predicted model, not a curated record
CCCAAAUACCUAAUUCGAAAUCCUCACGUAGAAGAACAUCCCGCGUCGCCUAGCACCUGCCCCUCCUGCCCAGCGCCACCCCGCGACGGUCAUCACUCGGUCUAGCGCCACCCAGCGCCGCCCAUCCCUCUGUCCUACGCCGCCCCUCGUUCCUCCUCUGUCGCCCCUCGAAUUUACACAUCCCGCGUCGCCCCAGCACCCGCAUCGUGUCGCCUGACCAGCGCCACCCCGCAAUGGCCAUCCCUCGGCCCAGCGACACCAACCGACGGCUCUCGAAACCUGUUGCGAUCUCACAAGGUAUAAUUUUGUCUGGGCAUUGUGUCCUUGCUGUCAAUAUUGGAGCUAUGAGCGCACUGGGUUCACAUCAGGCUCACUCACAAACCAUUCUCAUAUGGUACGCGUAAUGCACAGUGCCCCAGAGAACGUUUGUCGUGCCUUCUAGGAUAUGUAUCAACCCAAUACAUAAUAAGAAAGGAAUCCUGCAUCACUCUGAUAAAUCAAGUUUAGAGGAAAGAUUCGAUGGAAAAUUCUGUUGAGAUAGUGUGAUUGAGAAGCUGCUUCAUGUUACAAAGGAAUUAGAACCAGAUAUGUGCCCAUAUUGAUGUUGUGUAACUCGAUGGAGAAUUUGCAAAGUCAUGGAGAUGGUGAAGACGUGGAGAUGCACUUGGUGUUGCUUGUCGAGAUUCUAGGCUAGGAGUUUGGACCUUGGUGUGCAAACACUUGUUUCUUUGUGGGGAUGUUCUCCUGUAAUUUUUGUACAUUUUGUUGAUGCUAUAAGUUGGCCCAUUUUAUUGUGUCAAUGCUUGCACAUUCUUGACACAAGCAAAUUAGGGUGGUUGCACUGUUAUGUGGAUGGCUAAUUAUAUUUAUGGUUGUCAUGCAUUUCCAAAUUGAUUGCACAGAUCUAGAA